CAGUCGCCACGGUAAUACGUAGGGGGCUAGCGUUAUCCGGAUUUACUGGGCGUAAAGGGUGCGUAGGUGGUCCUUCAAGUCGGUGGUUAAAGGCUACGGCUCAACCGUAGUAAGCCGCCGAAACUGGAGGACUUGAGUGCAGGAGAGGAAAGUGGAAUUCCCAGUGUAGCGGUGAAAUGCGUAGAUAUUGGGAGGAACACCAGUAGCGAAGGCGGCUUUCUGGACUGCAACUGACACUGAGGCACGAAAGCGUGGGUAGCAAACAGGAUUAGAUACCCCAGUAGUCCCUGUCUCUUAUACA
This 301-nucleotide ribosomal RNA is filed under the name uncultured bacterium. RNAcentral's name for it is "partial 16S ribosomal RNA". It matches the Rfam family "Bacterial small subunit ribosomal RNA", at positions 509 to 808 of the family's 1533-position model. The record is from RNAcentral.